GAGCGUGUGCACGAGUGA
RNAcentral lists this unclassified non-coding RNA (18 nucleotides) under Mus musculus (house mouse). RNAcentral's name for it is "oocyte_clustered_small_RNA2815". The record is from RNAcentral. Lineage: Eukaryota; Metazoa; Chordata; Mammalia; Rodentia; Muridae.